RNAcentral lists this ribosomal RNA (492 nucleotides) under uncultured bacterium. Its description in RNAcentral is "partial 16S ribosomal RNA". It matches the Rfam family "Bacterial small subunit ribosomal RNA", at positions 29 to 507 of the family's 1533-position model. The record is from RNAcentral.
AGUGAACGCUGGCGGUAGGCCUAACACAUGCAAGUCGAACGGCAGCACAGUAAGAGCUUGCUCUUACGGGUGGCGAGUGGCGGACGGGUGAGGAAUACAUCGGAAUCUACUUUUUCGUGGGGGAUAACGUCGGGAAACUUACGCUAAUACCGCAUACGACCUACGGGUGAAAGCAGGGGAUCUUCGGACCUUGCGCGAUUGAAUGAGCCGAUGUCGGAUUAGCUAGUUGGCGGGGUAAAGGCCCACCAAGGCGACGAUCCGUAGCUGGUCUGAGAGGAUGAUCAGCCACACUGGAACUGAGACACGGUCCAGACUCCUACGGGAGGCAGCAGUGGGGAAUAUUGGGCAAUGGGCGCAAGCCUGAUCCAGCCAUACCGCGUGGGUGAAGAAGGCCUUCGGGUUGUAAAGCCCUGUUGUUGGGAAAGAAAAGCAGCAGGUUAAUACCCCGCUGUUCUGACGGUACCCAAAGAAUAAGCACCGGCUAACUUCGUG